This 253-nucleotide ribosomal RNA is filed under the name uncultured bacterium. Its description in RNAcentral is "partial 16S ribosomal RNA". It matches the Rfam family "Bacterial small subunit ribosomal RNA", at positions 524 to 776 of the family's 1533-position model. The record is from RNAcentral.
GACGAGCCGAGCGAACGUUGUUCGGAAUCACUGGGCUUAAAGGGCGCGUAGGCGGGCAUCCUAGUCUGUGGUGAAAUCCGGCAGCUUAACUGUCGAAUUGCCAUGGAUACUGGGUGUCUCGAGGGAGGCAGGGGUGCGCGGAACUGAUGGUGGAGCGGUGAAAUGCGUUGAUAUCAUCAGGAACUCCGGUGGCGAAGGCGGCGCACUGGUCCUUUUCUGACGCUGAGGCGCGAAAGCCAGGGGAGCAAACGGG